This 360-nucleotide ribosomal RNA is filed under the name Rahnella inusitata. RNAcentral's name for it is "partial 16S ribosomal RNA". Lineage: Bacteria; Pseudomonadati; Pseudomonadota; Gammaproteobacteria; Enterobacterales; Yersiniaceae. The record is from RNAcentral.
UAGAGUCUUGUAGAGGGGGGUAGAAUUCCAGGUGUAGCGGUGAAAUGCGUAGAGAUCUGGAGGAAUACCGGKGGCGAAGGCGGCCCCCUGGACAAMGACUGACGCUCAGGUGCGAAAGCGUGGGGAGCAAACAGGAUUAGAUACCCUGGUAGUCCACGCYGUAAACGAUGUCGACUUGGAGGUUGUKCCCUUGAGGMGUGGCUUCCGGAGCUAACGCGUUAAGUCGACCGCCUGGGGAGUACGGCCGCAAGGUUAAAACUCAAAUGAAUUGACGGGGGCCCGCACAAGCGGUGGAGCAUGUGGUUUAAUUCGAUGCAACCKGAAGAACCUUACCUACUCUUGMCAUCCASGGAAUUCGCU